GAUGCAAAUCAAUGGCCUAUGUGAGGGGUGCCUCCGUAAGUACUAGCUGGUCUUCCCUCACUCCUUUAACUAAUGAUGAGUAAAUUAGUUGCAAUCUCAUUACAACGUAGUGCAUUUCUCCCUCCCGCUUGCAUACAGAUAGAGCACAAACUCUGUGCUGCUGUUGUUGGCCCUCUCUGUGCUGCUAUAGGUACCCAUGGGCAUGGAAUCCUGUUGUUGCUGCUGCACACGAAGGAAAUCAAUGGUUGGUGAGCUCAAAACGAAAUCAAUGGUGAAGCGCUGGACAUGGAGAGGGGAAAACAGAGACCGUACCAAGUCAAUCAAAUCUCGGGGUAGAAGAAGCUUGAUGAGCUAGGAGAGGCAACGGGAGGUCCAUGGCGUCCUGGGCAGCAGCACAUGACAAGACGCGGAGUAAGGAAGGUCCAUGGCGACCUUGCUCCACUGGAUC
Molecule: long non-coding RNA, 448 nt
Filed under: Triticum aestivum (bread wheat)
Lineage: Eukaryota; Viridiplantae; Streptophyta; Magnoliopsida; Poales; Poaceae
Description: long non-coding RNA (TAES_LNC017096)
Source: RNAcentral